Molecule: ribosomal RNA, 1150 nt
Filed under: Lactiplantibacillus plantarum
Lineage: Bacteria; Bacillati; Bacillota; Bacilli; Lactobacillales; Lactobacillaceae
Description: bacterial SSU rRNA
Source: RNAcentral
GGUGCUUGCAUCAUGAUUUACAUUUGAGUGAGUGGCGAACUGGUGAGUAACACGUGGGAAACCUGCCCAGAAGCGGGGGAUAACACCUGGAAACAGAUGCUAAUACCGCAUAACAACUUGGACCGCAUGGUCCGAGYUUGAAAGAUGGCUUCGGCUAUCACUUUUGGAUGGUCCCGCGGCGUAUUAGCUAGAUGGUGRGGUAACGGCUCACCAUGGCAAUGAUACGUAGCCGACCUGAGAGGGUAAUCGGCCACAUUGGGACUGAGACACGGCCCAAACUCCUACGGGAGGCAGCAGUAGGGAAUCUUCCACAAUGGACGAAAGUCUGAUGGAGCAACGCCGCGUGAGUGAAGAAGGGUUUCGGCUCGUAAAACUCUGUUGUUAAAGAAGAACAUAUCUGAGAGUAACUGUUCAGGUAUUGACGGUAUUUAACCAGAAAGCCACGGCUAACUACGUGCCAGCAGCCGCGGUAAUACGUAGGUGGCAAGCGUUGUCCGGAUUUAUUGGGCGUAAAGCGAGCGCAGGCGGUUUUUUAAGUCUGAUGUGAAAGCCUUCGGCUCAACCGAAGAAGUGCAUCGGAAACUGGGAAACUUGAGUGCAGAAGAGGACAGUGGAACUCCAUGUGUAGCGGUGAAAUGCGUAGAUAUAUGGAAGAACACCAGUGGCGAAGGCGGCUGUCUGGUCUGUAACUGACGCUGAGGCUCGAAAGUAUGGGUAGCAAACAGGAUUAGAUACCCUGGUAGUCCAUACCGUAAACGAUGAAUGCUAAGUGUUGGAGGGUUUCCGCCCUUCAGUGCUGCAGCUAACGCAUUAAGCAUUCCGCCUGGGGAGUACGGCCGCAAGGCUGAAACUCAAAGGAAUUGACGGGGGCCCGCACAAGCGGUGGAGCAUGUGGUUUAAUUCGAAGCUACGCGAAGAACCUUACCAGGUCUUGACAUACUAUGCAAAUCUAAGAGAUUAGACGUUCCCUUCGGGGACAUGGAUACAGGUGGUGCAUGGUUGUCGUCAGCUCGUGUCGUGAGAUGUUGGGUUAAGUCCCGCAACGAGCGCAACCCUUAUUAUCAGUUGCCAGCAUUAAGUUGGGCACUCKGGUGAGACUGCCGGUGACAAACCGGAGGAAGGUGGGGAUGACGUCAAAUCAUCAUGCCCC